This 508-nucleotide long non-coding RNA is filed under the name Brassica rapa (field mustard). Its description in RNAcentral is "long non-coding RNA (BRAP_LNC000262)". The record is from RNAcentral. Lineage: Eukaryota; Viridiplantae; Streptophyta; Magnoliopsida; Brassicales; Brassicaceae.
UUCCAAUAGGCUUACUCUAUAGUAGAAUUACUUUAUUAUAAAGUACAAAUAGAAGAAUGUUACAUUUUUACUCUAAAAAUAUAGUAAAAAAUAACAUUCCUAUAUAUUUUACUCUAUAAAUUGGAGCAAAUCCAACUCUAUAAUAGAAUAACUCUAUUUUAGAAUGAAAUAAAAAAAAAUAAAGGGUUACAUUGGAAAUGGUCUUAGCUCAUAAAAAAAAAAAAUCUGCCAACAAUAUAUAUACACUACAAGAAAUAAUUCAACUUCUGACCUUCAAAUUGGUUGGUAAAUAGUCAGAAACACAUUUUUAACCAUUUUGUGACCACAUAAAAUCGUCAAAAAUAUUCCGUCAGAAAUUGAUAAUGGUGGAAAAGUUGUCAGAAAUUUUUGACUAUAUUAAUGGUUAGAAAUGUCAUCAAAAAUAAAUGUGAGGAAAUGGUCAAAAAUAAUUAUCUAAUUUCUGAUAAAUUUCUACCACUCUUUUGUUAAUUUUUAACUACUAUUUAAU